AAAGCAGCAGUGAAGAGUUUCGGAGAACCGUAUUAGGUAAGUCGCAAUUAAUCCUCCCUCAUAUUUCUUUUUUUCAUUAGCAACUUUUCAGUUCUCCGAUGUCUUGUUAUCAUCAUUACCUUGUGAAGAGUUAUAAUCAGUGAUAGAAACACUAAAAAUAAAGGCAGUCCUUUCUAACCUUGGUCUUGGGGACCACGAGCAACACUCUAACAUGAUGUCUAGCCUGGAUGACACUGGCUAUGCUGCCUGUUCCCUCAGGCCAGAAAUGAUUGUUGAGAGAGGACAACAAAGGGAAGGAGUCACAAUUCUGACUCCUGCAGCCUACUGAGAGCCAACCCCUCCACUGACUGUUUCCUUCUUCCUCAGUAUUCUUCUCUUUAAAUGUAUGGUUUAGAAAAAAUGCAAAGAAGCUAGGUCUGGUUCAUUUUUCCUGUUUCUCUGCUCAGCUGUGUCACAGUACCUAAUUAAAAUUGGCAAGUUAUUUAAAGAUCCAGUAUAGGCCAUCGUGUUCUCUCUCUCUCUCUCUCUCUCUCUCUACUAUUAUUGCUCCACCUGGUUUUAGAGCCAGAGGGUUCCAUAUACACUCUCCAUAGGCCAGACUUGGAGUCACAGUUGGCAGGUUACAUCAGUGACACAAAAUAUAUCUGGAAGCAUAACUGACAUGAUUAAUCCCUUUGCUUUUCUUCUGUCCUUGUAGAUACUGUCUGCCAAUUCUAAGAUAUCCAUCACCUUUUUGCCAAAUUGUUUUUCUCCAGAGCAAAGAACUAAGACUCAAUGUCACUAGUAUGUGGGUGAACAGGAGUACUGCAAAAACAAGUGAAUAGGAAGGAAGCUGGUAGUUGAGAGAUGGGUUUUGGGGAAAGGGACUGUCUGAAAAGUUUAUGAGAGAUCAAAAUGAGAGGGGAGCCUUCCAUCACCUAGUUCCUCUCUUUUUGUGCCAUACCCUGUAGAUAGAACCAGCUCAGACUCAAGCUCAGAUGAGGAUUUUUUCAUACGACGUCCUGGAAAACACAGAGAACGCAGAGGACCACCACCUUCUCCUAAUGAUGAAAACGAAGAUGAGGAAGCUCCACCAGGGCCACCCCCACCAGGGCCACCCCCACCCAGUGAUGAACCUCAGCCAAAUCCACCCCCACCAGAGGAGCAACCUGAGCAGAGUUCAGAUGAGGACUGACUAUCCAAGUAAUCUGAAAGUCAUUAACAGAGCAUGAGUGUGAACAUACCAGUCCUUCAGAAAGCCAUGACAUUGGAAGAAGGCACUCUGUCUUCAAUUUACCAAUAAAAUAAUCAGCAUCCAGUUUCUAAGUGUCA
This 1311-nucleotide long non-coding RNA is filed under the name Bos indicus x Bos taurus (hybrid cattle). RNAcentral describes it as "lncRNA (ENSBIXG00005010815.1)". Lineage: Eukaryota; Metazoa; Chordata; Mammalia; Artiodactyla; Bovidae. The record is from RNAcentral.